Carassius gibelio (silver crucian carp) is the source of this 537-nucleotide long non-coding RNA. RefSeq lists it as uncharacterized. The record is from RefSeq and is a predicted model, not a curated record. Lineage: Eukaryota; Metazoa; Chordata; Actinopteri; Cypriniformes; Cyprinidae. The transcript has 2 exons.
UUGUUUAGCCUGUUUAACAUUUCCAGGCAUUUCUCCCUGUGUUUGUCAUUCCCGUGUUUAAUCUUUGGACUGUGUACUCUGAUUCUCUGCUGCCUGCCCCGAUCUCUGCUUGUUUCUGGUUUCGACUCUGGUUAUCCCUAACACACACGACGCUAUUUCUGAUUUCUGCCUGACCAUUCUUAAAUAAAGCGCUGCAUUUGGAUCCAAACGUCUCUGGCUCAUCAUUACAGUGGCAAUGAACAUAAAGACAUGUCAUCCUUUGUUGAUGCUGGCAAGGAAAGCCAUUAUGAAUAAAUGGGUUGAAGAUAGCCCUCCCUUAUAUAGGGAAAGGGUAUGAUAAAAGACUUUAUAUCCCUAGAAAAAAUAAGAUUCUGUCAUAUGGAUAAACGUAUGUUAUUUAACAGAAUGUGGGAAGUACCAUAAAGAUAUUUGGGGGUUAGUGAAGAUCCCAGCAUGUUACCCAUAAUAUGAAAAAUGUAAUAUAAAUCUACAUACCCUAUAUUUGUUUAGUUAAAAUAAAUAUGGCGAUAUAAAUUG